GAACUGAUACAACUCGAUUUCUCGGGAGACAAAUGACUCGCAUUACCAACUUAACCCAGUCUAACUGUAUGCUAUUCCAUCCAAGAGGUAUGUGAUGAGGGCCUGAAGAGGUGUUCUGCAUAUAACAGCCAUGCCUAUAGCGAAUUCAAUUCUCAUCUCGGAGCGG
Molecule: long non-coding RNA, 166 nt
Organism: Drosophila biarmipes
Lineage: Eukaryota; Metazoa; Arthropoda; Insecta; Diptera; Drosophilidae
Exons: 3
Source: RefSeq, a predicted model, not a curated record